AUUGAACGCUGGCGGCAGGCCUAACACAUGCAAGUCGAACGGUAACAGGAAACAGCUUGCUGUUUCGCUGACGAGUGGCGGACGGGUGAGUAAUGUCUGGGAAACUGCCUGAUGGAGGGGGAUAACUACUGGAAACGGUAGCUAAUACCGCAUAACGUCGCAAGACCAAAGAGGGGGACCUUCGGGCCUCUUGCCAUCGGAUGUGCCCAGAUGAGAUUAGCUAGUAGGUGGGGUAACGGCUCACCUAGGCGACGAUCCCUAGCUGGUCUGAGAGGAUGACCAGCCACACUGGAACUGAGACACGGUCCAGACUCCUACGGGAGGCAGCAGUGGGGAAUAUUGCACAAUGGGCGCAAGCCUGAUGCAGCCAUGCCGCGUGUAUGAAGAAGGCCUUCGGGUUGUAAAGUACUUUCAGCGGGGAGGAAGGGAGUAAAGUUAAUACCUUUGCUCAUUGACGUUACCCGCAGAAGAAGCACCGGCUAACUCCGUGCCAGCAGCCGCGGUAAUACGGAGGGUGCAAGCGUUAAUCGGAAUUACUGGGCGUAAAGCGCACGCAGGCGGUUUGUUAAGUCAGAUGUGAAAUCCCCGGGCUCAACCUGGGAACUGCAUCUGAUACUGGCAAGCUUGAGUCUCGUAGAGGGGGGUAGAAUUCCAGGUGUAGCGGUGAAAUGCGUAGAGAUCUGGAGGAAUACCGGUGGCGAAGGCGGCCCCCUGGACGAAGACUGACGCUCAGGUGCGAAAGCGUGGGGAGCAAACAGG
Molecule: ribosomal RNA, 759 nt
Filed under: uncultured Enterobacteriaceae bacterium
Lineage: Bacteria; Pseudomonadati; Pseudomonadota; Gammaproteobacteria; Enterobacterales; Enterobacteriaceae
Description: bacterial SSU rRNA
Rfam family: Bacterial small subunit ribosomal RNA
Source: RNAcentral